This 253-nucleotide ribosomal RNA is filed under the name uncultured bacterium. Its description in RNAcentral is "partial 16S ribosomal RNA". It matches the Rfam family "Bacterial small subunit ribosomal RNA", at positions 524 to 776 of the family's 1533-position model. The record is from RNAcentral.
UACGGAGGGUGCAAGCGUUGUCCGGAUUUAUUGGGCUUAAAGGGUGCGUAGGCGGCCUAAUAAGUCAGUGGUGAAAGCCUCCAGCUUAACUGGAGAACUGCCAUUGAUACUGUUAGGCUUGAGUAUACUUGAGGUAGGCGGAAUUGACAGUGUAGCGGUGAAAUGCAUAGAUAUUGUCAAGAACACCAAUUGCGAAGGCAGCUUACUAAAUUAUAACUGACGCUGAGGCACGAAAGUGUGGGUAUCAAACAGG